CGCGUGGGAACGUGCCUUCUGGUCUGGAAUAACCCUGGGAAACUAGGGCUAAUACCGGAUACGCCCUUUUGGGGAAAGGUUUACUGCCGGAAGAUCGGCCCGCGUCUGAUUAGCUAGUUGGUGGGGUAACGGCCUACCAAGGCGACGAUCAGUAGCUGGUUUGAGAGGAUGAUCAGCCACACUGGAACUGAGACACGGUCCAGACUCCUACGGGAGGCGGCAGUGGGGAAUAUUGCACAAUGGGCGCAAGCCUGAUGCAGCCAUGCCGCGUGUGUGAAGAAGGCCCUAGGGUUGUAAAGC
This 300-nucleotide ribosomal RNA is filed under the name uncultured Methylobacterium sp. Its description in RNAcentral is "bacterial SSU rRNA". It matches the Rfam family "Bacterial small subunit ribosomal RNA", at positions 114 to 431 of the family's 1533-position model. The record is from RNAcentral. Lineage: Bacteria; Pseudomonadati; Pseudomonadota; Alphaproteobacteria; Hyphomicrobiales; Methylobacteriaceae.